UAGAUACCCCACUAUGCCUAAAAAUAAAACGGCGGAAUCAACAACACAGCCGCUCGCCAAACCACUACGAGUGAAAACUUAAAACUUAAAAGACUUGACGGUACUUCACACUCAACCUAGAGGAGCCUGUCUAAUAACCGAUAACCCACGAUUAACCCGACCCCUUCUGGCCACACAGCCUAUAUACCGCCGUCGACAGUCUACCUUAUGAAAGAAAAAAAGUAGACAAAAAAGUAUCAAACACUAAUACGACAGGUCGAGGUGUAGCUAAUGAAGAGGAUAAGAUGGGCUACAUUUUCUAAAUUAGACCAUACGAACAAAAUCAUGAAACUGAUAUUUAAAGGAGGAUUUAGCAGUAAGAUGGGAACAAAAUACCUAACUGAAACAUGCAAUGAAGUGCGUACACACCGCCCGUCACC
RNAcentral lists this ribosomal RNA (419 nucleotides) under Calabaria reinhardtii. Its description in RNAcentral is "partial 12S ribosomal RNA". Lineage: Eukaryota; Metazoa; Chordata; Lepidosauria; Squamata; Calabariidae. The record is from RNAcentral.